Molecule: ribosomal RNA, 393 nt
Filed under: uncultured Nitrosomonas sp.
Lineage: Bacteria; Pseudomonadati; Pseudomonadota; Betaproteobacteria; Nitrosomonadales; Nitrosomonadaceae
Description: bacterial SSU rRNA
Rfam family: Bacterial small subunit ribosomal RNA
Source: RNAcentral
CUGAUUAGCUAGUUGGUGGGGUAUAGGCCUACCAAGGCGACGAUCAGUAGUUGGUCUGAGAGGACGACCAGCCACACUGGGACUGAGACACGGCCCAGACUCCUACGGGAGGCAGCAGUGGGGAAUUUUGGACAAUGGGCGCAAGCCUGAUCCAGCAAUGCCGCGUGAGUGAAGAAGGCCUUCGGGUUGUAAAGCUCUUUCAGUCGAGAAGAAAAAGCUGCAGUGAAUAACUGUAGUUCAUGACGGUAUCGACAGAAGAAGCACCGGCUAACUACGUGCCAGCAGCCGCGGUAAUACGUAGGGUGCGAGCGUUAAUCGGAAUUACUGGGCGUAAAGGGUGCGCAGGCGGCUUUGUAAGUCAGAUGUGAAAUCCCCGGGCUUAACCUGGGAAUU